UACGUAGGGUGCAAGCGUUAAUCGGAAUUACUGGGCGUAAAGCGUGCGCAGGCGGCUUUGCAAGACAGAUGUGAAAUCCCCGGGCUCAACCUGGGAACUGCAUUUGUGACUGCAUGGCUAGAGUGCGGCAGAGGGGGAUGGAAUUCCGCGUGUAGCAGUGAAAUGCGUAGAUAUGCGGAGGAACACCGAUGGCGAAGGCAACCCCCUGGGCCUGCACUGACGCUCAUGCACGAAAGCGUGGGGAGCAAACAGG
Molecule: ribosomal RNA, 253 nt
Filed under: uncultured bacterium
Lineage: Bacteria
Description: partial 16S ribosomal RNA
Rfam family: Bacterial small subunit ribosomal RNA
Source: RNAcentral